This 466-nucleotide ribosomal RNA is filed under the name uncultured bacterium. RNAcentral's name for it is "bacterial SSU rRNA". It matches the Rfam family "Bacterial small subunit ribosomal RNA", at positions 335 to 798 of the family's 1533-position model. The record is from RNAcentral.
ACUCCUACGGGAGGCAGCAGUAGGGAAUAUUGGGCAAUGGACGAAAGUCUGACCCAGCCAUGCCGCGUGCAGGAUGACUGCCCUAUGGGUUGUAAACUGCUUUUGUACGGGAAGAAACCCCUUUACGUGUAGAGGGCUGACGGUACCGUAAGAAUAAGGAUCGGCUAACUCCGUGCCAGCAGCCGCGGUAAUACGGAGGAUCCAAGCGUUGUCCGGAUUUAUUGGGUUUAAAGGGUGCGUAGGCGGACUAAUAAGUCAGUGGUGAAAGUUUGCAGCUUAACUGUAAAAUUGCCUUUGAAACUGCUAGUCUUGAGUAUAGUUGAGGUGGGCGGAAUGUGUCAUGUAGCGGUGAAAUGCUUAGAUAUGAUACAGAACACCGAUUGCGAAGGCAGCUCACUAAACUAAAACUGACGCUGAGGCACGAAAGCGUGGGGAGCGAACAGGAUUAGAUACCCUGGUAGGAUAG